AGAGCGAACGCUGGCGGCAGGCUUAACACAUGCAAGUCGAGCGCCGUAGCAAUACGGAGCGGCAGACGGGAGAGUAACACGUGGGAACGUACCCUUCGGUUCGGAAUAACUCAGGGAAACUUGGGCUAAUACCGGAUACGUCCGAAAGGAGAAAGAUUUAUCGCCGAGGGAUCGGCCCGCGUCCGAUUAGCUAGUUGGUGUGGUAAUGGCUCACCAAGGCUACGAUCGGUAGCUGGUCUGAGAGGAUGAUCAGCCUCACUGGGACUGAGACACGGCCCAGACUCCUACGGGAGGCAGCAGUGGGGAAUAUUGGACAAUGGGCGCAAGCCUGAUCCAGCCAUGCCGCGUGGGUGAUGAAGGCCUUCGGGUCGUAAAGCCCUUUCAGCGGGGAAGAUAAUGACGGUACCCGCAGAAGAAGCCCCGGCUAACUUCGCGCCAGCAGCCGC
RNAcentral lists this ribosomal RNA (446 nucleotides) under uncultured bacterium. RNAcentral's name for it is "SSU rRNA". It matches the Rfam family "Bacterial small subunit ribosomal RNA", at positions 26 to 518 of the family's 1533-position model. The record is from RNAcentral.